This 253-nucleotide ribosomal RNA is filed under the name uncultured bacterium. RNAcentral's name for it is "partial 16S ribosomal RNA". It matches the Rfam family "Bacterial small subunit ribosomal RNA", at positions 524 to 776 of the family's 1533-position model. The record is from RNAcentral.
UACGAAGGGUGCAAGCGUUACUCGGAAUUACUAGGCGUAAAGCGCACGUAGGCGGAUCGUUAAGUCGGGGGUGAAAUCCUGGAGCUCAACUCCAGAACUGCCUUCGAUACUGGCGAUCUCGAGUCCGGAAGAGGUGAGUGGAACUCCUAGUGUAGAGGUGGAAUUCGUAGAUAUUAGGAAGAACACCAGUGGCGAAGGCGGCUCACUGGUCCGGUACUGACGCUGAGGUGCGAAAGCGUGGGGAGCAAACAGG